This 287-nucleotide long non-coding RNA is filed under the name Elaeis guineensis (African oil palm). RNAcentral's name for it is "long non-coding RNA (EGUI_LNC045613)". The record is from RNAcentral. Lineage: Eukaryota; Viridiplantae; Streptophyta; Magnoliopsida; Arecales; Arecaceae.
CAUCACAUUCAAUCUAAUUUUUUAUGCUCGCAUUAAGCAUAUUGAGCUAGACUUUCACUUUAUCCUAGAAAAGGUGGCCCAUAAUGAAUUGGAUAUCUAAUUCAUUUCUACCAUUGAUUAAGUGGCUGACAUCUUCAUCAAAGGCCUACAUCCUAGCCAUCUACAUUAUUUGCAGAUCAAGGUCAAUGCUCAAGCUUACCCAUUUAUCUUGAGGAGGCAUGAUAGCAAACUUGAUUCAUAUUUGCCUAAAUCAUAAGAUAUACCAACAUGACUGCUAUUUCUGAUGU